RNAcentral lists this ribosomal RNA (478 nucleotides) under uncultured bacterium. RNAcentral's name for it is "partial 16S ribosomal RNA". It matches the Rfam family "Bacterial small subunit ribosomal RNA", at positions 28 to 523 of the family's 1533-position model. The record is from RNAcentral.
GACGAACGCUGGCAGCGUGCUUAACACAUGCAAGUCGAACGGUAAGGCCCUUCUGGGUACACGAGUGGCGAACGGGUGAGUAACACGUGGGUGAUCUGCCCUGCACUUCGGGAUAAGCCUGGGAAACUGGGUCUCAUACCGGAUAGGACCACCGCCUGCCUGGGUGGUGGGGGACAGCUUUUGCGGUGUGUGAGCGGCCCGCGGCCUAUCAGCUUGUUGGUGGGUGGAUGGCCUACCAAGGGGACGGCGGGUAGCCGGCCUGAGAGGGUGACCGGCCACACUGGGACUGAGAUACGGCCCAGACUCCGAAGGGAGGCAGCAGUGGGGAAUAUUGCACAAUGGGCGCAAGCCUGAUGCAGCGACGCCGCGUGAGGGAUGACGGCCUUCGGGUUGUAAACCUCUUUCAGCACCGACGAAGCGCAAGUGACGGUAGGUGCAGAAGAAGGACCGGCCAACUACGUGCCAGCCGCCGCAGUAA